Molecule: long non-coding RNA, 4005 nt
Organism: Ornithodoros turicata
Lineage: Eukaryota; Metazoa; Arthropoda; Arachnida; Ixodida; Argasidae
Exons: 3
Source: RefSeq, a predicted model, not a curated record
AAGAUUGUCCAGAGCACACUUCUACGCUACGACUAUACGCUUCCUCACAUUUCUAGCGCUACUAUGCUUCACGAAAGCGGUCGCAGAGUCUGCAGCUAGUACCAGUUUGAACGACAUAUCGGAGACCUCGUUGCUGGUAAGGCCAAAUACGACCGUAACACAUACUGUUCGCCCUGAGAGAGUCAAGUCCGAGAAGUCUGCAUACGAGAUGGUCACCACGACGUCGCUUUGGCUUUGACUUUCCUCUUCGCCGUACACCUGGCGUCAGCAGAGGAUGUCAUGGAUGACGCGGGGGACGAGAGAAAUGAGACCUCACCGGCCAUGAGUCCGGAGCCGCUCAAGGGAUCAACCUGCAGGGCGACAGAGGUGAACUGGAACGUGAAAAGGAUUCGUGAACUAAUUAGCACGGCGGCGAAGGUACCCCCAAUCGGCAAGAAAUAUUUUUUCUCCAGCAAGCCCUUUGUAUUGAACGGGUACACUGCGGAGAUGACCUUCGAUGCAUGGAACAGCGAAGACGGUGUCUGGCUGGAAUUCUUUUUUGCCCUGUGCAAAGGCACUGCUGACGAUUUCCUCGCAUGGCCCUUCAGGACGCCAUUCACGCUCACCCUCUUACACCCAACGAUGAGAAGGAUGGACAUCUCGCACACAUUCUCCGCAUUUUCAACUGCCACGUUUCCUUACUUCAAGAGACCAAAAGAGGGUUGCAACCAAAUGUAUGGAUUCCGCGAGAUGAUAACAGCAUCGAAAGCUGAAAACCGAAGCUACAUAGUGGACGACGCCGUUUCUGUUCGCGUUCAGCUCAAUCAGUAGAUCAAGACAAGAGCGAUGAUUCCACGUUUGGUUACUCCACCGCUGGCUGGGCGGUAACAUCUCAUUACGGCCGAAAGUCUCAUUACGACCGAAGUCUCAAUAGGGCUGAAGGUAGUCUCAUUUCGGCCAAAGAUGUUUCAUCACGGCCAAAAAGACGCGUCCUCCACAUUAACAACCAUAAUGGGACAUCGGGCGUAAUGAGACUUCGGCCGUAAUGAGAUUUAAUCAGCUGGGCUACCCGUUCUAUUCUUCCGUAGGCGUUCAUGCUAGCUGCCUUUGUGGCAGUUUGAUGCCUUUUUUUUUCCUUUCUUUCUUACUUUUUUCUUCUUCUUCUUUUUUUCUUUCCCUGUGCUAUGCGAAGUUUGUCUUCGAACUACGAACCGUCGACGAGCGAACACCCUCGUUCCAUUAGCUGUAUACCACGUGUAGAUAAAUAAAUAACCACUGUACUUAACAUGCUAUAGGAGUGUCACUAGGAUGAAGUAUAGGGUAAGUUGGGGACAGUUUGAAUUUUCUGCGCCGCAUUUAUUUAGCAGUAAUUAUUUCUCGUCAAUGACGCCAUGGUGAGCACAGUCGUUGUCUGGGCUUUGAAUCAACGAUCAGAUGUUCUCAUUGGAACAACUUCGUAGCUUUUAUAAUUAAAAAUUAAUUAUCGCUAAUUAAUUGACAAGGGACGAUGAAAAAUAUAUUUUUGGAUAGACCACACAACUGGCCAAGCACGUACAGUUGGUUCCAUUUGUGUAGAGCACUCCAUUUUUUCUUUAGCCUCUGUAUAUUUGGAAACUUUGGAUCCCUUCCAUUUUUAACGAAACCUCGGUUUACUAACCGUUCGAUUUCGAUGUAUGAAUGAUUUUCGAGAAAUUUUUGGCCGUCCACAAUUCAAUCAUUGAGCCUGCAUCGUAUUUUGUGACACGCUAGCAGUAAGACAAUAAGCACAUAAUAUCAUGAACACGCCAUCGAAACGAAAAUCAAACAACGAGCACAGAAACUUGAAAAAGACUCCUGCGCCAGGACAACCUGCGAUGGGAAGAGAAUCCUUACCUGUUAUAUAUUUUUCAUUCGGCGUUAGCGCCGCGAGGCAACUGUGGCUAUGAGAGGUCUACAGAUGUAGACAGAUGGGAUAGAGGAGGAGAGGCGAAGGAAUGAGGGGCAGGGGCUUUGUGUGCGACCUGUGCAGACUUGAGGAGGAACAGUGGCGAUAUCCAUCUGGAAGGGCUAUCGGGAAAUCCCAGAGAAAACCACAGAAACCACUGUACUGGAAUAAUCUCUUGCGAUAUCGGUCCCACUCGUUACACAAUAUAUGGAUGACACCUCGAAGCUCUCGUUGGCUCGGUACAAAAGACCGAUAAGAAGCCACGUAGCACAAAGACGUCUUUGCUCGGCGAGGUUUAUUUCGCGACAAAAAAAAAUUAAUGGCUUUUCCUGGGGUCCAGAGGCCUCCAAAUUCGAACAAGCCAAAGAAACAAGAAAAUCAGUUGAGUCACGGGAAGAAGGGAGACAGUUUCCCGUCUUCUUCUUGGGAAACUGGAGUUCGGUGUCCGUCUUCUCCUGGAUGUGUCGUGACAGCCACUUGUCACUCCGUCUCGCAGCCGGUCCUGAUGCAGACCCGUUUUUGGCCGCAUACAGUUUUACAACAGCACAGCUGGUGGUAGGGAUUCUAACCCUACACCCCCCAGGCUUCAGCACGGCCUCGACUAUACCGGCAACGAGUGGAUGUCUCUAUACCUGCAAAGCUAUCGAAUAUCGCCCAAGUGUACAACCUACAUGCGCAAAGGAAGUUGCCAUUUCCCUAAGACGCAUGACGGAUGUAAUUAAAGCAAGUACAACUGCCAGGAUGCAUCGACGAUAAGAUUGUACAGAGCACACUUCCACCCUACAACUAUAUGCUUCCUCAUAUUUCUAGCGCUACAGGGCUUCACGAAAGCGGUCGCAGAGUCUGCAGCUAGUACCACACUUUGAACGAUAUUGGAAAAAGGCCAAAUACGGAAAAAGGACACAUAUUGUUCGCCCUGAGAGAAUCAAGUUCAAGCAGCCCGUAUACCGAGAUGGUCACCACGACGUCGCUUUGGCUUUUGACUCUCCUCUUCGCCGUGCACCUGGCGUCAGCAGCGGAUGUCAUGGAUGAUGACGGGGACGUUAGAAAUGCGACCUCGCCGGCCAUGCGGACGACUCUCGAGCGGCUCCAUGGGUCAACCUGCCAGGUGACAGAGAUGAGCUGGAACGUGCAGGGGAUUGGUGAACUAAUUCGUGCAAUGCAAGACGUGAAACUCCGUAGAAAAGAAGCCUACAGCAAGCCCUUUGUAUUGAACGGGUACACUGUGCACAUGUCCUUACAUAUAUGGAGGUCAUUGUCAGGCAUUGUCUGGCUGCAAUUGCAUUUUGGCCCGUGCAAAGGUCCUGAUGACGAUUUCCUUGCGUGGCCCUUUAGGACUCCUUACACUCUCACCCUCUUACACCCAACGAGGCCUGAGCUGGACAAUUCGCGGGUAUUCGAUACAUUUUCCAAUACGACGUUUGUAGUCUAUGAGAGACCAAAAAAGGGUUGCAACCGGAUGCGUGCAAUCCAGCAGUUGAUAACAGUAUCGGAAGCUGAAAAGCGAGGCUACAUAGUGGACGAUGCCGUUUCUGUUCACGUUGAGCUCAAUCUGUGAAUCAAGACAAGAGCGAUGAUUUCACGUUUGUUUCCUCCACCGUUAGCUGGUCUGCCCGUUCCCUUUUUCCGUACGCAUGCAUGCGACCUGGCUUUGGGGCAGUUAUUUACUUUCUUUUUUCUGUGCUGUGCGAAGUUAGUCCUCGAACUACAAACCAUCGACUUACGAAGUUCCUUGUUCUAUUAACUGUAUAGCACUUGUAGACCUCUACUGUACUCAACACGCUCUUGAACACGGGGGGCAAGUUGGGGACAGUUUUUCUUCUUCGCGUCGCAUCUUCUUUCCAAUAAUUAUUUCUCGUCUAUGACACCAUGGACACAACCACAACCAGUCGUUGUCUGGGCUUUGGAUCAACGAGUUAACGUUCUGCACGUGGCUUUUCAGAAAUACGUCAGACGCUGUUUUUUGCAGAUGUGGUCGAGAUAAGAGGUCGAGGUUUUCGGUCCAUUCGUAACUUUCGCGAGCAUUGACUUCUACUAAUUUGCUCACUUCUGCUCUUAGCUUAAUAAAACAUGACAUGGCCAUCGUGGUGCUGUCUCACUGC